AUGCCGGGGGGGAGCUCCGGGGCGCGCAGCAGGCGGGGGCUGCUUAACAGGGGGCGGGCAGGGGGCAGGCAGCGCCGCGGGGCGGGGGGCAAGGUGCCAGGCAGCCCCCCCGCCGCCGCCGCCCUCAGGUGCCAGCGCCCGCGGGUUGCUCCCCGCCCGGGAAGCAGGGUCUGGGGGCAGCCGGCCCCAGGCGGUGCCGCCGGGACCCCGCUAGGCUCCCCCCACGCUGCUCUCGCAGGAGCCUGGAGCCCGCAGCGGGGGCUCGCCCGCCUCUCGGCCCCGCGUGUGUGUGUGCGUGGGAGCGUCCUCCGCGUGUGCGUGUGUGCCGUGGGCUGCUCUGUCCGUGCGCGGUUGCUGCUUGAAGGCGUCCCGGCAGCACUGUCCCCGGUGUCCCCACGAGCCGCUGGCCAGGCAGAGGGCUCCACGGGGAGGCUCCGAAAUGCAGUCAGGUCUGCAAUCAGCGCCCGCGAGGAAGCGACGCCUGGAGCUGGAGGAACUCCGGGGCCACUUUGAGCUCCCCAUUCCCGUCCCCUCCCGGAGCACGGUGGCUGGGUUGGGGUGCGGGGCAGGCCCAGGGACACGGGGCAUUUUGCUGCCUGACGCCCAGGAAAGCUGGCGAUGCUCUUCUGCUCUGCCCGCUCUCCUCCUGCCGCCCGGAAAGCCGGAGAGCCAGAAAUAAUGCUAACGCGCCUUGGGCUGUGGUGCCCAAACAAGAGAGGGAGAAGUCCUGGUAAAAUGGAGGGAAAGUAGUGGCUGUUUUUUACAACCCAAGUGUAUAAUCGGAUUUUUUUUUUCUCUCCUGAUAGAAAGCAGAUAAAUUUAUGAAGGGAGAGCUAAGAGAAUAAUUACAGGGUGAAGGUAGUUAAAUUUUAUUUCGAGUCCCAAAGGCAAAACCUGACAUUUUAUUGCAAACAUCUGGAAGGCUUAAGAGACUGGCAUGGUGUUUGUUUAAACACUAAUAGAGAUUUUUAUUCUGUAAAACACAAACAAAGCCCAUUUAAAAACACUCGAGACUGUAAAUAUUUUGCGGUGGUUCAAUUCUCCAAGCCUGAGAAAACCGGGGAAACGGGAGGGGAGGGGAACGAAUCGACGGCGUAAUGGGGGUAUAAUUAUGAAUUAGUUAAUAAUAAGCAACAAUACCGUUUGUGUAGACCAUAAAAAUAAAUUGCAGCUGCAUUUUUUUUUUUCGCAGUCGCAGUAAAUGACCCCGCGCAGCCCGGGAACAUCACCUCGCUCGCGUUUCCAGGCGGCCACUCUGUUCGCCUUAAACUCGCCUCUUACGAGAGAGCCAGCCCCGAAAUCCUCCGGUCCGUUUUUAAAAGGACGAUCGGCGUUGCGUUAAAGUCCAGUAAAUCACUCGCUCGCGUUAUCAGACAGCAUUCAGCCCGCACCCGCUGACUAGUUUUAACAUUGUUUUCAAUUACUAACUUUAAAAAAAAAAAAAAUCCCCUAGAUCUGGCUAAAGGACCUUCGAUAACAUUUCCCUUGUUGUGCGGCAGGGCUUGAAACUGGCUCCGCUCAGGCUCUGCGAGCAGAACAUCUGGACAGCACUCCCACCCCGCAGCCGGCUCCCCUUAUUUCUCUCUUUUGCAAAUAUUUCCAUACAUAAACAAAUAUUUUCAGGCUCGCUCGGCGACAACCGGGAAGCAGGAGUGAAUGAUUUCUUUAUAAACCCCAGGGCCUGGCCCUGCGACCCUUGCUCCCGCCACUUUAUUCCAGGGAGCAGUUUCCUGGAUUUAAUGGGAGCUACCCCUGCGAGUGCGGGUCUGGAAGAAAGGCCAGGCAAAGGGGGUGCUUUCUUCUCCAGGGGUCAGAGCGGGAUCUGAGCGUCGCGGCUGAGCCCAGGCCGACCCCAGAUUUCCAGCGGGGGGUCACGGGCAGAAAUCUCCUGCGAGGGAGCAGCCCCGUCCCUUCCCCGGGCGCAUCUCGCCGCUGCCCUUCGCCCCGCCGGCACCGGCAGCGGGCGGGCGAGCCCUCGGGCUGCGGCGGGGAGGGAGAGGCUCGCCCCCGGCCGCCGCUGCCGGGACCGUGGGGAGCUGCCCUCCAGCCCCCGGCAAAGGGAUCUGCUCCCUGGGGCCUGGCCGGUCAGGGGGCGUGUUGGCACGGGAGCUCGGUCGCGUUUCUGCUGCGAAGCCUCCAUCCGUCCCUCCGUCCCGGCUGGGCGGACAGACGGACGGACGGCAGCGCCCGGCGGCAAGAGACUGCGAAAAAGGCUCGGGGCUGCUUUAAACCGGCGACCCCGUAAAACCACACUUAAACCCGGGAAAAUUGUCUUUCUGAGCUCUUACAUCAGCCCCCGAAUUUCGUUUAAAUCGCCCUGCCUUUCCAACACCAUUUCCUCUCGCUAUAACGCUAUAAAUAAUCCUCUGUUUUCUUGGGCUCCCUUUCUAAAUUCUCCCUCCAGCCUCUAUAAAAGCCUCCCUCGCCGCCUGUCUCCCAGGCGGGUGUUUCCGAGGCUUUCGGAAACAGAGGAGAGGGUUUUUGUUUGGGAGACACUCCUUCGCCGUGGGACACGCAGCCGAAGGACCGGGGCGACAGCCGUGCGCCCUUCCCCGUCUCCCCGUUCCUCGGCCAGUCCCGGAGCCCGCUUUAAAACGCGGGCUCCUUCCAAGUGCCUUUCUCUUUCGUUCCCCUCUCCCCCGGCUCUCCGGGCUCCCCUCGGCCCUGCUGGGGGGCACCCCCGUGCCGGGGGGGCGCCGUGCCCUG
Cairina moschata (Muscovy duck) is the source of this 2706-nucleotide long non-coding RNA. NCBI's taxonomy places the organism in Eukaryota, Metazoa, Chordata, Aves, Anseriformes, Anatidae. The record is from Ensembl.